This 468-nucleotide ribosomal RNA is filed under the name uncultured bacterium. RNAcentral describes it as "partial 16S ribosomal RNA". It matches the Rfam family "Bacterial small subunit ribosomal RNA", at positions 28 to 507 of the family's 1533-position model. The record is from RNAcentral.
GACGAACGCUUUCGUCGUGCUUUACACAUGCAACUCGAACGUAAAGGCCCUGCUUUUGUGGGGUGCUCGAGUGGCGAACGUUUGAGUAACACGUGAUUAACCUUCCCUUGACUUUGGUAUAACUUCCGUAAACUGUGGCUUAUACCGGAUAGGAGCUCCUGCUGCAUGGUGGGGGUUGAAAAGUUUCGGUGGUUGGGGAUGGACUCGCGGCUUAUCAGCUUGUUGGUGGGGUAGUGGCUUACCAAGGCUUUGACGGGUAGCCGGUCUGAGAGGGUGACCGGCCACAUUGGGACUGAGAGAGGGGCCAGAUUCAUACGGGAGGCAGUAGUGGGGAAUAAUGCACAAUGGGCGGAAGACUGAUGCAGCAACGCCGCGUGCGGGAUGACGGCAUUCGGGUUGUAAACCGCUUUCGCCUGUGACGAAGCGUGAGUGACGGGAAUGGGUAAAGAAGCACCGGCUAGAUAAGGG